UCAGACGAGUCCCAGGCACUCCAUCCUCUGCAGCAAGUCAGGUUGUGAUUUACUAGGGGGUGGUGAAUAUAAUGGAGAGACUUCUGGGGAGGAAUUCCUGGCUCCCGCGUGGACUUGCAGAGCUCAACAGGCAGCCACGUGGCUGAGUGUCCAGCAAACAUCACAUAAGGCUUUGGGUCCUGCAGGUGGGGCUGCCAUGAGCAGCAAGCUCAGUCCAGAAGAACAGUUCCUCUCCAGGAUCCACUUCCUGCGCACUUUUAUGUGCAGUGUAGCUGGAGCAGAGCUCCCCGGAAUUCCACAGGCAACUGAGAACGGAGAGGGAUGCAGGCCAGCCAGGGAUCCAGCGUCUUCCCCAUCGUCACUCUCCAUGGCCUCCGUCUACACACAGUGUUCGUCUGCACAGCUUGUCAGCGCGUUAUCAUGACUUCUAUUUGGCACCGGCCCGUCUGUCCACUGUCCUGGCUUGUUCCAAGCGCUGCCUUCUCCAACUGGGGUCCUGGCUGCAGAGCUGUCUGCUCCCCACGUUGGGCAACUCCAGCCAAGAUUCCUACACCCAAAUGUGACCGUGUUGCUCACGAAGAAGGCUCAGCUUUGCGUGUGCCCAGCCGUGUGCACAGCUCGUCCCAACUCCUGCGGGUGGCACCUGCCUCUCCCACCUCCAGUCUUUCCCCUGUGAUGAGCAGAUGACCACCGCCCUCCAGGGUCAGCGUUUGGCUGUUUGUGUGCCUGCCCACCCGCCUCCCUGUGCCUGGGCCUGCCCUGUGCCUGCACACAGGAGUGGCUCAUGGCGUUUGCCCUACACGGAUGGGCUGUCCUGGGAGCUACUGGACAGUCACCUUGGUGGGAAUGCCAGAGGCAUGGGCAUUAGGUCCCCCCGGCCAGCCUCCGUUGCCACAUGGGCUAUUUUUGUCCAUCGCGUGGGACAACCUAGUAUUGGGGGAAAACUCAGUCCACUCUAAAGAAGCAUCGGCGUUUUGGAUGGACGAAUGCUGCUUCAUGCGACUCCAUGUCAAUGGACUAUUUUAUUCAACUCGGGUAUUUAUGAGUGUCUCCUCUGUGCCAGCCACGUGUGAAAGAAGAACUCCAAGUUACUGGACACCAGGACAAACCAGGGUCUCUCUCUGUCACCCAGGCCUCAGUGCAGUGGUGCAAUCAUGGCUCACUACAGCCUCGACCUCCCAGGCUCAAGUGAUCCUCCCACCUCCAGUCUCCCAAGUAGCUGGGACUAUAGGCACAUGCCACCACACCCUGUUUCACCAUGUUGGCUAGGCUGAUCUCAAACUCCUUGGGCUCAAGCGAUCCUCCCACCUUGGCUUCCCAAAGUGCUGGAAUUACAGGAGUCUCGCUGUGUCACCCAGGCUGGAGUGCAGUGGUGUGAUCUUGGCUUACUGCAACCUCUGCCUCCCAGGUUCAAGUGAUUCUCCUGCCUCAGCCUCCCAAGUACCUGGGACUACAGAUCUUUAGAUAAGCACUCUUUCAACCAAAUGCCAAUCAGAAAAUCUUUGAAUCCACCUGUGAGCUGGAAGCCCCGCUGUGCUUUGUGUUGUCCUGCCUUUUCGGACCAAUGUAAAUCUCACAUGUACUGAUUGAUGCCUACAUCUCCUUAAAACGUAUAAAAUCAAGCUGUAACCCAACCACCUUGGGCAUGUGUUCUGAGGACCUCUUGAGGCUGUGUCACUGGUCAUGAUCCUUAACCUUGGCAACAUAAACUUCUAAACUGAUUGAGAUCUGUCUCAGACACUUUUUGGUUUACAAAAGGACUAAUUCAAAUACAGUUUUAUCUUCCAACAUAAGAAAACCUAGAAUGAAUGACUCAAAGGUUGUAGAGGGUUAAACAACCUCUCCAACGUGCAAACCUCUGCCUUAUAAUUCCUAAGUAUUUCUGACUGUAGAUGGUACUAGGAUAGGAUCAUUUUACCAUGGAAAUGAAACCCGUGUCCUUUCCUUUGGGUUAAUCUUGAAUCCCUGGUGAAGUGAAGGCAGUCUCUAAGAGGAGUGCAGUCCAUCCAACUGCUGCAGUGCUCCUGUGUACUACUGGGACCAUCCCGGAGAGUGGCAGACACGAUGCGAACCGUGAAAGGACGCAAAGAGUACAGAGUGCAUGCUUCCAUCUCUAUAGGAAGGUCAGGAACGCUGUUACGGGGAGCAGGGUUAGAAUGAUGGGGAUAUAGCCCGGGAAGGGGCAGAGGAGCUUUCUGUGCCACGGGAAAUGUCCUAAAUCUCAACCAGGACACGGUUAGAUAAAAGUGCAAAUAUGGGUGAAAAUUCAUUAAAGCUGUAUAGUUAA
RNAcentral lists this long non-coding RNA (2287 nucleotides) under Homo sapiens (human). Its description in RNAcentral is "CTBP1 divergent transcript". The record is from RNAcentral. Lineage: Eukaryota; Metazoa; Chordata; Mammalia; Primates; Hominidae.